CGCCCACAAAAAUCGAGAAAAAUUGAAUAUUUUGGGCAACUUUAGAGCAAAAUACCAUUCUUGGUAGACAUUGUAUAAAUCCUAGACCGGAUGUGCCCUGCAAAUUUUGUGUCAAUCGGAUCGAAAACAUGGAAGUUAUUCACGAAAGAAUUCUUAUGCAUGAUAAGAGGUGCAUCUAACUGAAUAACGUGAAAUCAAGAAAUAAGCUGGAGUCUUCGAAACCCCUCUUCUUUGAAACAAAUAUUGCCAUUUUCAUAUUCACACAAAAGCAACUGGAUUACGUCAGUAGGAAGCGAGAGACUCUUAUGUAUUUUUAUGCACCUCGACAAAUUUAUCGAGGAAAUUAUUGGAUCUGAUGAAUCCAUUGCACGAUUGAAUACAUCCGCGAAGGAAUGAAGUCUGCUGUGCUUUCUUGAAUGGUGAAGCCUGUCGGACUUAUAAAUUUUGUUGCGAGACUCGGACGCUUCUUCACCAAAACAGCCGACUGGAAGCACCGUAUUUUCCAUGAUUUGCGUAGAGUGCACAAUAAUUUUAUGCACUGUUGGUGUCAUCGGCAGCCACGGAUAAGUAUCAAGCAUUAAUUCUGCAGUUUGAUGGGCACAAACACAAAAUGUUCCAGCGCUCGAGACUCCUGU
Long non-coding RNA from Drosophila sulfurigaster albostrigata, 635 nucleotides. RefSeq lists it as uncharacterized. The transcript is spliced from 3 exons. NCBI's taxonomy places the organism in Eukaryota, Metazoa, Arthropoda, Insecta, Diptera, Drosophilidae. The record is from RefSeq and is a predicted model, not a curated record.